RNAcentral lists this long non-coding RNA (374 nucleotides) under Felis catus (domestic cat). RNAcentral describes it as "lncRNA (ENSFCAG00000049635.1)". The record is from RNAcentral. Lineage: Eukaryota; Metazoa; Chordata; Mammalia; Carnivora; Felidae.
CGGGAUUCGGCAAGGUGGGGUGGGGGAAGGGGAGACAAAACAGAGGAAACAGGCCGAGCAGAAGAUGAGACUGCGGCGGGGAAUCUUUGGCUUCCAUGUGGAGGCGCGAGUCCCGUUCCUGCACACGAACUCUGCAAGCAGGGAAAUCACAGAAUAGAAGAAGAAAAAAUUAAAAGACAUCAUUGGAACUUACAGAAGAAGGGCCAUGUGAAGACACAAAGAGAAGAUUGCCAUGUACAAACCAAGGAGACAGGACUCUGAAGAAACCAAAACUGCCAAUGACUUGAUCUUGGGCUUCUAGCCUUCAGAACCGUGAUAAAUAUUUUUGUUUAAGCCAGAAAUAAAAAGACAUAAUUGAUUUUUUUAAAAAGCCA